The sequence is a regulatory RNA element, 113 nucleotides long. It matches the Rfam family "Alpha operon ribosome binding site". Rfam says of the family: The bacterial alpha operon ribosome binding site is surrounded by this complex pseudoknotted structure. Translation of the mRNA produces 4 ribosomal protein products, one of which (S4) acts as a translational repressor by binding to the nested pseudoknot region. The mechanism of repression is thought to involve a conformational switch in the pseudoknot region and ribosome entrapment. The record is from Rfam.
GUCCUGAUAUGCUGUUUGAGUAUCCUGAAACGGGCUUUUCAAGAUCAGUAUAUCAAUAACUUUAAAAAUAGGAGUGCAUAGUGGCCCGUAUUGCAGGCAUUAACAUUCCUGAU